GUGGGGAAUAUUGGGCAAUGGGCGCAAGCCUGACCCAGCCAUGCCGCGUGAGUGAUGAAGGCCUUCGGGUCGUAAAGCUCUGUGGGGAGGGACGAAACCGCCGGGUGUGAACAACGCCGGGCCUUGACGGUACCUCCUUAGCAAGCACCGGCUAACUCCGUGCCAGCAGCCGCGGUAAUACGGAGGGUGCAAACGUUGCUCGGAAUCAUUGGGCGUAAAGCGCACGUAGGCGGCCGCGCAAGUCGGAUGUGAAAGCCCCCGGCUCAACUGGGGAAGAGCACUCGAAACUGCGCAGCUCGAGUAUGGAAGAGGGUCUCGGAAUUCCCGGUGUAGAGGUGAAAUUCGUAGAUAUCGGGAGGAACACCAGCGGCGAAGGCGGAGACCUGGGCCAAUACUGACGCUGAGGUGCGAAAGCGUGGGGAGCAAACAGGAUUAGAAACCCCGGUAGUCC
RNAcentral lists this ribosomal RNA (451 nucleotides) under uncultured bacterium. RNAcentral describes it as "bacterial SSU rRNA". It matches the Rfam family "Bacterial small subunit ribosomal RNA", at positions 354 to 796 of the family's 1533-position model. The record is from RNAcentral.